RNAcentral lists this ribosomal RNA (488 nucleotides) under uncultured bacterium. Its description in RNAcentral is "bacterial SSU rRNA". It matches the Rfam family "Bacterial small subunit ribosomal RNA", at positions 29 to 507 of the family's 1533-position model. The record is from RNAcentral.
AAUGAACGCUGGCGGCGUGUCUUAAGCAUGCAAGUCGUGCGGCAAGGGUAGCAAUACCCCUAGAGCGGCGGACUGGUGAGUAACGCGUGGGUGAUCUGCCUCUGGGAUGGGGAUAGCCACUAGAAAUAGUGGGUAAUACCGAAUACGUUCGUCGGGCUGUGGCCUGACGAGGAAAGGCGCUUCGGCGCCACCCGGAGAUGAGCCCGCGUCCCAUUAGCUAGUUGGUGAGGUAACGGCCCACCAAGGCGAUGAUGGGUAGGCGGCCUGAGAGGGUGUACGCCCACACUGGGACUGAGAUACGGCCCAGACUCCGUACGGGAGGCAGCAGCUAAGAAUAUUCCGCAAUGGACGAAAGUCUGACGGAGCGACGCCGCGUGGAUGAAGAAGGCCGAAAGGUUGUAAAAUCCUUUUGUUGGGGAAGAAUAAGCGUGGGAGGGAAUGCCCGCGUGAUGACAUGAACCGACGAAUAAGUCCCGGCUAACUACGUG